GUCUUUAUAGCUUAAAUGGUAGAGCACUAAACUGAAGAUUUAGUCGUAUUGGUUCAAUUCCAGUUAAGGACA
Molecule: transfer RNA, 72 nt
Filed under: Blastobotrys adeninivorans
Lineage: Eukaryota; Fungi; Ascomycota; Dipodascomycetes; Dipodascales; Trichomonascaceae
Description: tRNA-Phe
Rfam family: tRNA
About the family: Transfer RNA (tRNA) molecules are approximately 80 nucleotides in length. Their secondary structure includes four short double-helical elements and three loops (D, anti-codon, and T loops). Further hydrogen bonds mediate the characteristic L-shaped molecular structure. tRNAs have two regions of fundamental functional importance: the anti-codon, which is responsible for specific mRNA codon recognition, and the 3' end, to which the tRNAs corresponding amino acid is attached (by aminoacyl-tRNA synthetases). tRNAs cope with the degeneracy of the genetic code in two manners: having more than one tRNA (with a specific anti-codon) for a particular amino acid; and 'wobble' base-pairing, i.e. permitting non-standard base-pairing at the 3rd anti-codon position.
Source: RNAcentral